UACGAAGGGGGCUAGCGUUGCUCGGAAUUACUGGGCGUAAAGCGCACGUAGGCGGCUUUCUAAGUCGGGGGUGAAAUCCUGGAGCUCAACUCCAGAACUGCCUUCGAUACUGGAGAGCUCGAGUCCGGGAGAGGUGAGUGGAACUGCGAGUGUAGAGGUGAAAUUCGUAGAUAUUCGCAAGAACACCAGUGGCGAAGGCGGCCAUCUGGACCGGUUCUGACGCUGAGGCGCGAAAGCGUGGGGAGCAAACAGG
RNAcentral lists this ribosomal RNA (253 nucleotides) under uncultured bacterium. RNAcentral describes it as "partial 16S ribosomal RNA". It matches the Rfam family "Bacterial small subunit ribosomal RNA", at positions 524 to 776 of the family's 1533-position model. The record is from RNAcentral.